Molecule: long non-coding RNA, 24711 nt
Filed under: Triticum aestivum (bread wheat)
Lineage: Eukaryota; Viridiplantae; Streptophyta; Magnoliopsida; Poales; Poaceae
Description: long non-coding RNA (TAES_LNC021006)
Rfam family: MIR1120/MIR1122 microRNA precursor family (bases 23244-23358)
Source: RNAcentral
CUGUUCCCUUCCUCCUACCCCAAACUGUUCAGUUUCUUUUUUAUCCUUUUGCUAUGUAUGUAUAUCAGAUGAGAAUGUUUCAGUUUUUAAUUGGCAGCCUGCUGCGGAGACGUCAAGGAGGAACCGGAGUACCUCUGGUAAAUAAAUGGUGUUUUCUAGGAUGAUAAACAAUGCUUUGUUCUUGGAAAUUCAGUAGCACUGUCGACUGUCGAUUCCGCGUGCACCUGCAAAUUAAACUGAUGGAGUCCUUGGGUCCUUCCUAGUCCGGAUUCUCUGUCUUUCCAAGCUAGUAGUUGCGUGCACAGUUUUCGUGCAUGUUGCAGCUAUCUGUGCCAGUUUUUACCCAUACUAUGUUUAUAUUGACACAUUUAUCAUGUUCACUGUUCGAUUGUUUAUCAAUCCCUUGAUCGAAAAUGGAAAAAAAAUAGCCGAAAACAAAUGAAUUUCUGCCCUUAGGUUCCUUUGGAUAACUCAAACCUAAGAUAUCAAAAUGAUUUCCAACAGAAGCCUUCCCGCACCUUGUUCAUGAUGCUUUGUUUGUUUAAUGUUUGCAGCCAAUGCAAGUGCACUUCAAGUGAGCUGCGAACUUCUUCGGAUGUUUGUCGCAGGUCUGCAUAUUGACGAAAAAUAUCACACCACCUCAUGCUAAUAACAAGUAAACAUUUGGUUCCACUUAUGCAGUCAACCUCUGAAUUCUGUCUUGCAGAGGCUGUCCAGCGGUGUGCUGUUAUCGCUGAAGCAGAGGGGACGACCACAAUUGAGCCCACCCACCUGGAGCGAGUUUUGCCGCAGCUUCUUCUGGACUUCUAGCUAGCCUUCUUGGUACGGUGGUACCUGUCCCGGACACAGAUGGAUAGCCAAGGCGCCUGAAGCAAUCCAUAGUUAAUCUUGUAAUGAGAAUGUUGUUUCUGUCACCCUGACAAACCAGUUCAGUUAAAUAUAACACUGCCGCCCUGAUUCACAAGUCAGUAAAUUGGGGUUUUGUUCCACAAGUCUGCAGCCAAUUCGUGCAAUUUCCCGUGGAAUUUUACUGUCCUUGGAAAAUCCUCCGCGCUGGGGGUAGCAGAGCACGCGCUACGUGUGAGUGUGACUGGCCUGUGAAAAAAAGGCGUGGUGGUCUCUGCAGUGGCGGAGCUUGAAAGAAAUCUCAGGAGGGGCGAAGAAAUCUCAAACGGGCUGCAUAGCACAAAGCUUCAAAUAUGCUCGCCCCACAUCAUCUCUUGGAUUAGCUGGAUGUUUUCAAAUUUGUGGACGUAGACACGUAGUGUUGGAUCCCGAUGCAAAAAUUCAAUCCCUCAAAAUAGGGCUUCAUUUGUUUGAUGGCCUUAUUGUUGCGGCAUCGAAGAAUGUGGUCCGUGUUGCUCAAAUUCCAGUAACAACAGAGGAGGCUGAACAUGUAUUGCUUCUGUUUGUGUUGGUUCGUCAACUUUACAUUCAACUGAAUCGCCUCACUUUUUCUUUUUGAAAAAUACAUAAAUUGUUUUCCCUCAAGAAUUGUAUUCACCGUUUUUCUGUGAAGGACAUUUUCUAUUCAGCACAAAAUCCAUGACCUAAUUAGAAUUUUCCCCAACUGCAGAAUCAAAAUACUCUAAAUUUCCACAAUUUGUAGAGGGGGGAGACAGAGAGAGACAGCGAGAGCAAUUUGCUCACCAGCUCACUUCGGCACUGCGCGCGGCGCCGGUGUUGCCUGAUUCUGUUUGCAUCCGUGCGGCAGCAAUGAGAAGUCAGGACUCAGCAGGUAGGAACGGAGAUGUCUCUGACCAGCAAUAACCAAUCCCUAGCCGUUCGCCCGCCAGCGGCAACCUCCACGCCGACAAGCCACAGCCGCCGCCGGCCAGUCCGCCGGUGCGGUGCCCCACCCCCACUCUCAGGCGUCAGCAGUCACAGGUCAAACGUGAAAUCUUGAUUGCUCUCGCUCGCUUAAUGGGUCGCUUUGCUCCUCUCAGGACGUGGGUGCAACGAGUAGAUAAGAAAAUGGGCCUUGUGGGCUGUAAUACAUAGGGGUAGUAGAAAAGUUAUUUUUUGCUGGGGGGCGACGGCCCAGGUUCGCCCCCACGAAGGGGAACUCCUAUGUGACGCAUUCUGCGUCAACUAGUUGCGGCUUCGCACAGGGGCAGCUGACUGGCGGGCUUUGUGGGCCGCUUGGCGCGCGCGAACUGUUUUUGAACUGUUUCAAGCGUUUCGUUGUUUCUGCUUCGCGAAGCUGUUCCACUGGUUGCUGUCCCUGCUGUUUUACACUGUUUUUACUGUUAUAAAGUAAAGAAUGGUUCCAUUGUUUCUUCUGUUUCUUCUCUUUCUGCUGUUUCAAUAGUGGUAGUAAAUUAAAGAAUGGUAUAGUUUCUACUGUUCCACUGUUUCAACUGUCUCCCAAAGAAACAUGAAACAGAAAAACCUUGAAUUUACUAAACAAUGGUUGCUGGUUCCAUUUUAUGAAACCAGGUGCUGGUUCCAUUUAUUACAAACUGGUACUUCUAAAACUAUCAUAAAAAGUGGUGAGCUUACAACUUGAUGAAAUUGACUAAUAAUAGUAUCACCAAGGUGUCAUGAAAGACUUAAAAAAUGUACAUGUCUUACUACUUGUAUUCAAUACUUUUUCAGCUGUUUUCGGACAUUGUUUACAGCUGAUGGUCUUGGAAGAAACUAUCAUUGGACCAGCAAGAGAAAAAAAGAUUGCUCUAUCGGUAAGGAAACUUUUUUGCCAUGGAAGUAUUCCUUGGAGUUGAAUCUUGCAGUGCACUUCCCUUGAAGGUGGCAGUAUUAAUGAGACCCUUGAGAAUAGAAAGAAGAAUUUGAAGAAACGUAAACGCGAUUAGAAGAAAUUAAUUUCACUGUUUGGAAUGAAAGAACAGGCUCUAAGAAAAUAACAUCUCUUUUGUUUCCAUAGGAGAGAAAAAAAAUAGAGAACUUACAUGUCGCUGCAGGAAAGAAGUUACUAACGGCAGUUGAAUUUGAUUGUCCUUGCAUGUUACAAUCUCAAACAGGAUUUUUUGACGUAGAGCUUGUAAAUCAUCCUACCGUAUUUUAGAAAAAGUGCAGUUUAAUUCCUGAUAUGUUCCAAGAAAUGAGCAAAAAACAGAAAAAAUGUUUAUAGCUUACAUUAGAGAAACCCUGCAAUUCAAGACCUUUGUACUUGCUAACAUACUACAGAAUGAAAAUUCCCGAGUCAUACCUGUGAAAUAAAAUAGCACAAUCAGUUCCAUACUCAAGAUGGAAAUUAUUGUGAAUUUAAAAUACUUCUAAUCUGUCUUUUAGGAGAAAGAGCCAAAAAUUUGCCCGUGGCUGGUACAAAUAUUGUAAAACUGGAGAUUUCCAUGGAAAACCCACCUGAAAUUGACCUUGGGAGCUGGUACAAAUCUUGAUUCGAAAUUACCUAUGUUGAAAGAAGUAGAAUUUCCAUAUGUAGCAGCAAACAAGACCUUGAAGUUGUAGAUAACCGCACUAAUUGUUGGUAGAAAUGUAUCAGCACUGUAGUACGGGUUCAUGAUAUCAAAAAAAUUGGCUCUGAAGUUAGCAGUGAUUAAAAUCCACUGUUUUUCCUUGAAUACGGGCAUUUUUACCUAGGGAAUUGUGGAAAGGAAAAAUCUAUUAGUCUAACCUCUUUCAACAAGAAAAAUCAGUAAGAAACAGUUUGUACAAAAAGAACUUAUCUUACCAAGGAAGCAUUCAAUAAACUGAAGCCAACAUUACUUUCCUAUAAGAUUAGUUUAUUUGUAGGAUCUGAAUGAUUUAGCAUUGGGUUCAUUAGCUUCUCCUGCAAGUUUGUUUCCCAGAAAAUUAUUGAUAGUUAAGAAAAGGAAAUGUCAAUGGUGUGAAAAUGAAAACAGAGGAAAAGAAUUUAAAAAAUAGGCUGACCAUGUCGUCAAUGUUAACUAUGUGCUCCACUAUUUCACUGUUUGGUAGGAGGCCUUUUCUUCCUCGGUUCAGCUGGUCUUUGUUCUUUAGUUUUGAAAAACAGGCAACAACCCGAGGGUUUAUCCAACCACCAGGCUUGAAUGAUAGAGUUAUGGUUUUCUGAUCCACCCAAACUCCUUCGAUCUCAAAUAUUCUUUGGCUAUUGAUGGCAGAAGAAUAUCAUCAAGAAAAGUGAAAAUAAACAUGAGAAAAAAGCAUUGAUAGCAUAUAUAAAAUUGUUUAUGUUCGAAUCAUGUACAACAUAUCACAUAAAAAUUCAUAUGCUUUUUGUACAUACCUGAAAGUUAAUUUGGGAAGUAGUCCAACCAAUGUUUGGUAGAAAUCAUUCUCUAUUCCAUCUGAAAAGAUGACCUGUUGCCCAGAAUUUUUGGGUUCUUGAAUGACUAGUGUCGCAGAUUUGAAAGAAUUGUUCACACGUUGUUGCCAGGUUGAAGUUUCUGGUUUUGAAAACUUGCUGGAAUGUGCUUCAUGUUGUUCGAGUGCUUUAACUAGCAAAGAAUCUUCAAUAGGUGUGGCAAUAUUGUUUGGGAAGAGUUUUGGUGAUAGGAAAUCCAUUAUCCUUAUUGGGCUCUCGGUUCCAGGAACAUCGGGAUUGGCAUGACUAUUGCAAUGCAUGCUAUACUGAUUUGCUGAGAGGGUGAACUGACUAGAGGAACGAGAUGCAAAUGGAACAUUGUGAACUAACUCAAUUGAAUUGGUAAUUGCAUCAAAUGAAGGAGAAUCUGUGUCUUGAUAUUGAGUGACUGUACCAGCCUCUCCAUUUGAAUUGGCAUGCAUUGUAUUGUUGAGAGUACUCUGAGAUGCAACUACAUUUUCAUCAGGCAACAAGUCUUUAUCCAGUUCAGCAUCAAUGAAAUCUAGUUGAACAAAAAAAGUUAAAAGAACAUUAAGAAUAAGAAAUCUUAACAACUCAGUUCAUCUACAUGUCUGAAAAAAUUACUUUGGAUAAAAUGAAGUUUGUAAGAGAAAUGACCUUCCAAAUGCUCUCCUGGUAAUAAGAAUCUGAACAGUGGAAAGCAAAAUUUUGUUUCUUCUACUCUUUGUUUUGGGUGUUUUGAUUCAGACAAGAAUCCUGUAGAAAAAAAUUGUCAUUACUUAAUUCAUGUUCUAUUUGGGUACAGAGAAAAAACAUGCUUAGAAGAGCUAUGAAAGAAAAACUUACGAUGCAACAUUUCUGAAACAUCAGUGGGAGGUGUUGUUUUUUGACUUGAUGUCUUCACAAAUAAUUCCGGACAAGCAAGCUCUUCGAAAGAUGGUAGAUUACCAUUAAAAGAUAGAGAGAAAUUAGAGCUGGUUAUGUUCAGAGAUUGAGUGAAAUAUUGACCAAUUGCUGAAGAAUUUCAUUGAUGUUGACUUGUUUAUCUUCAUCAACGAUUGUUGGGACAGUUAGUAUUUGGGAAGUUUGGAGGUGAUUCUAUAGCCAACAAUUGUUUAGUCCUAGGAACUUUGAAUGUGUUAUCCGAAACUGAUGAUUUAAAUUGCAGGUUUGGGCUGCUGGAAUAUGUCGACGUCUUGAGCAAUGAAGUAUGCAUGUCAUCUACAUAGGUCUUUAGAGUAGGUGCUGAGUUCCGAAUGAUAUUCGUGUAGAAUUUCUGAGCUUGUAUUUGAAGAAUUAUCUUGUCCUGUUGAAAUGAGAGAGUACGUCUUGUUAAACAAACUUUAAAAAAUGAGAAAGUCAGUUUGUUGUUGCUCCGAAAAAGAUGAAAAGCAGCAAGAGAACUUACUUGUGUCAUACUAAUAUCUGUGAAUUUGGAUUCAAUAUACUGCGAUAUCUCUUCAGGAAGUUCAAUGAAAACAGAAUCAUUGAAUGGAGUAGAGGAGAUGUGUUUUAUCUGUUGGGUAAGAAGAAGAUGUUAAAUAUUUAUGUAAUGUUCCAUUGCACUUUGAAGUAGUACCAUAACUAUAAAAUGAAAAUUAAAGACAGAGAAUAGAACUACGUAAUGUGCAAGAGUAAUAUCUAUGAAGAACAAGGCCAUACCGGUAGUCUGCCAUAUUCGUUUCUCUCGCCAUGGAGCACAUCAAGUGCCAUGUAUGAAUUAAGCAUGUUUGCCGACCAUAGUGGUAGUCUUGGUUCAAUGCUUGGGAACUUCAAUUCACUUAUUAUGAAGAACUCGAAAUAGGAUAUCUGACAUUUAAAACAAAAUUCAGACAGAUUUGGUAAAAAAAUGACAAGUGUGAAUCAGAGACAAAAAAUUGAUUGGUGCAUAGAAAAAGAAAAAUUAAAGAAAUUUUGUCAUGGGAAAUGAGCUUACCACCAUAAGUAAUUUGCAUCCUCCAGGAAUGAACUUUUUGGUGCUUGCCUUGUUUAGUUUUGCUUUUUUGAUUGAAUAAACCAUGUAGCUCAGACAUAGCAGACACCAAUCAUAUUGUGAAAUACUGUCUAUGUCAACUACUGCAUUGUAGACAAACUUGGUAACAACUCCACUUGAAUUAGGUGCAACAAACAGUGACAGUAGUAUCAGAAUGAAGAUUCGGCAGUAUUUAUCUCCAGGAAGUUCAUCAUUGAUAAUUGAGAAAAGGUACUCAAUAGUGGGUGAAGUUGUUCCUAACUCGUGCUUGAUGAAUUCAUACGUUUCUUCCGAUGGUUUCGUGAUGACAGGAACUCCACCAAUUGGCAUACCAAAAAUCUUGUGAACAGUUGAAGUUGUAAUAGGGAAUUUGAAUCCAUUUCCCAUUUCAAUGGAGCAAGAAGUAGUGUUGAAAUGGUUUGAAAGCCACAGGUAAAUGGAGUCAAUAUUGGACAUGCUUGUUAUUUGUAGGAAUGUCUGAAACCCCAUUCUACCUACACACUGUUUGUGUCUAUCACUGAUUUCAGAUGCAAGCUUCAGAAAUGAUUCGACAUGCUCAAAUUGAUUGCACUGCAUGGAAAAAAAUAAAGGAAGAAAGGAAAAUAUUAGAGGAUUUGUUCAAAAAAAAUAUGUCCCUUUUUCGUCCUAAAUCCUAGAGGUAGGCUGCAGGAAAGAUCACAAGAGGGGUCAGUAAUCUGCUAGCUAUUCAACAGCUUAUCAAGUCGAAAUAGUGUCUCUAUAAGUAGUUUGAUUAAACAAUGCAGACUUGUUCUUGGUAAGGAACGGCAAAGAAGAGUAAAGUUGGCUGGACAAGCAUGUCUUGGAGCCACUACAUGUUUUGUACAAAAAUGUCAAAAAAUUCUGAAAGUGGAAACAGAUUUUUCAAGCUUUUACCAGCCUCCAGAUAAAGAAAAAAACAUCUGGUGACAAAAAAGAGAGUAAAUAUUCAGGUUGAAACAACAAUGCAAAGAACUACCGCUAUUUGCUGAAGUUUUAUAUCAUUGCACAAUGGGUGUGGACAUGGAAGAUAGUUACUCAUUGAUUUGGGAAAUGAAAUGGGUACAUAAAAAGCAAAACAUAAACAGUAAUUGUACUGCUAGAGAACUGAGCAAAACAUAUCAGAGAAUGUUAUAGAGCAUAUCUUCAUUACCUUGGAUCUUUUGCCUCCAUGUACAAUCUCUUCUGCUUCUCUUUUCUUAGAACAUCCUUGUUCCAUCUACAGUGAAUAGAGUAUCGUUAAUUGUUCUAAUGAAAUUAAGUGGGGAGAAAUUCAAAGUAGGAAAACAUGGCAGUUGCUUCGGUGUGGAAGUGAUACUAUCUAUCAGUAUUGAAACACAAAUUUCUAAUAUGCAUUCAUUGUAAGCACUGUGUUGAACUACUAACAAACUGCAGCUCAUUGAUCGCCUGACGACGAUCGCACCAACAACCUUCAAUUCUGCAACAGGAAUAGUUAACAGUUUUCAAAGGCUAUGAACACGAAACAGUUACCGCUGAGCUAUCGUCUGAUCAGUCCCGUCGUGAUAACAACAAUUCGACUGCAAAUGGUAACCAGCAUCUUCCUAUGUCGCCGUCACCGUUGCCAUCUACCAACGGAAGGUCUCCCGGACUGGCAAUCAAACCAGGACAGUGCAGUGAACUGCUGGGUUGGUUGCAGCUGCACCGUUGUUUUUCAUUCAUGCUUCCAUCAAUGCGUUGAGGGCCAUCCCAAAAUCAUUUUUUGGUUCCCCAUCGGAAAAAGAUGCUGAAAUUAUCUUCUAAUAAGCACUGUGUUGUAGGACUAGUAUUACUGAAAUUAUCUUCUAAUAAGCACGUGUUAUAGUACUUCUAGGAAUUAGUGAAUGUAAGCAGGAAAAACAUCUUAAUUGGCAUGAACAAAAAGUAUUUCCACAAGGCUACUAUUCCUGACAUGUUCAAAUCGAACUACAUGGCUGCUAAAAUAUUCCGUGAGAACAAACCCUAGCCCAUCAGAACACGCGUUGUAGUCAGAGGCACCUAAAAAAGACAGCAGUAAUAACCUAUCUAAGUUGCAAUCCUUGGAAGAAGAUCUUAAUCACGAUGAUACUUCCGCAAGAUUGAACAAAAUAUACAUAGAUGAAGAGGUUAGAGGCGAGUAGAACAUAGGCAGGGCGGAAGGGAGGGGGGAUGGAACCUUUUGCUUGGAGCCGAUUCAGCCAACGGAGAAAUACCGGUGAACAACACUUCAGAUCUCAGGAGGGGCGACGACGAGCGGAGGGGAGGAGAGAACAGAGAAGUGAAAUGGGGAAAGUGUUCUAAGUGGACGGUCCCACUUGUCUGUUGCUGAACAGAAAAUAAAGUAGGAAAAAAACUCCGACCAGAUAAGACCUGGGGGGUACGUGGCCUGAUCUGUUCCACCAAACCACGAGAUAGGCGGCGGCGGCAGUGUAGCGGCGGCGCCGCCAGGGCACCUAAAAUCCCGUUUCCACCGGCGGCCGUGCUCGAGCGCACAGGUAGUAGAAUACCUCGCCCUCUCUUCUUGAUCUUCUUCCUUUCCUUUCCUUAAUCUGUUGUACAUUGAAGAAAGUUUGGUUGGGGGAAAAGGAGGAAGAAGUGGAAGAAAAAUUACUUGAAGUUUCUAGGAUAGUAAGAGGUAGAAUUGGUCAGUUAGUUGCUGUUGAUCUGACGAACAAGUACUUAGUUUAACGACUAGCUAGAAUUGGCCAGUCAUUGAACCUUGAUGAUUACCUAGUUUAAUGCUCUGAAGAAUUUCCUGUGGCCUGAGUUGCAAUUGUUGUUAUGAUUCAAUUUCAACUAGAUUUUUAAAAAUUCAUUGAAUCAGUCCUUAAACUAGUGAAAAGUUAUUCCAAGCACUGUCUUGCAGAUGUUGUAGCGGCAAUGUAAUGCUAGUUCUCCCAAAAAUUGCUAACAUGUUUUAGAGAAAAUACUCUGAAGCUGCUCUGGCCGCUGCUAUGUUUCCUGAACAAAUGUCACAAAAGAGAAUAGUGCCAGCAGAGUAGAGAAGUGAAACACAGGACUAAUAAAUGCACGUAGAUGAUGCCGCCACCGAGCUCCAGUAUGUUACGUGCAUGAUAAAUCUGUAGGAAUAUAAUGCCAUUUUUUCAAACACAUGAGGAAGACCAAAGAAAUUGUCCAGUCAUUGAAACUUGAGAAUAUCCGAGCUGUUUAGUUGAAUUUAGUAAUAUGAUUAAUGAUCCAACUAUGUUUGCAAGGUUCUGCCUUAGUGGCAUCUAUCUAUCUUCUACCUAUUUAUGCUGGACAUAUUCCAGCUAAGUUUCGUUUUACAAAUACUUAUCACCACAUAUACACAAUAUUUAUAAAGUAUUAAUGUGUUACGUAGUUUAAUCCUCUGUUUCAUUUUACUUCGCAUAUUUGCAAGUUUGACAAAGUUCACUGAAAAUACAUAAUAAGCAGUACGUGUUGUCUUGUUUGUUGCAGCCUAUGGUAUCAUCCAGAUGGAAGGUGAAAGCAGUUUUGUGCAAUUUGCUAACCGGCAAGUAAUCAGUAAGGAGAAAAAGAUUACUAAGAAGGUUAGUCUCUACAUUUCUUGUUUAUAAAAAUAGAAGUUGAGUGUGUUCAUUGAAAAAGUUAGUGACUACAACACCAGGAAAAAUUCAAAAGAGAGAAUGUGUCAUGUUUUCUUCUGGAUGCAGAAACAAAUUGAGAAAAGAACUGCAUCCAAUGGAAAAGAAGUGAAGAAGAGAAGGACCAACAAUGAAAACAAACCGCUGGAACGUUCAGCGGGCAAAUAUGUUGCAGAACCUGCAAGUGUGGUGAGUGACUGUCCUUGAUUCAAUCAUUGCUUUGUAGGGUUUCAGUUAAGAUGACAAGAUCUUUUAAAUUACUAUCACUUUUCUCUUAGGGGUGUCCUUUGAUGGAAGAAUUUGAUUAGUUUGUUCAAUAUCAAAGUUUGAGGAAAGAAACUAAGGUUGGUUCUUUGAGAUCUGUGAUUUAAAAUGCAUUUCUUCGUCGCAAAUGAUAUGCAGUACUAAACUUUAACACACUCAAAAAUGGUGUCCAGGAACUGAUUGAGAGUCAAGAAGCUGAAAUGGGGUCCAAUUUAUUUGGUGGCAUUGACAAAGAAGUAGAAGUAGCUGCACCAAACAUGAUCAGUGAACUUUUGCGAAUGUCAAAUAACAAUGAAUAGACUGUAAGUACUUUCAAAGUGGGUAGUGUGAUUAUAAUUGUAGCACAUGUUUUUCUCAACCAAAAAGUGUGACAAGAUCUUGAAUACAGUUGUAGUGUUUGACAGAAAAUAUAUAUUCAUUGUUUUUUGCAGUCAAUGGGGAGAAAUGAUGAUAACAACUACAAUGCUUCUGAAUCAUCUUCAGCAGUAGUGCUAAGUUUGAGCAAGCAGGUCAGUGUGAGAAAAAAAUGAAAACCUGCAAGUGCUUUUGUUUGCAAAUAUACUAAAUUAAGAAGUGAUAUGAGUAUUAAAAUGUAAAUAAAUCUUUACAGGACAGUGUUGGUGAGAACAUGAACAUUGAACCUUUGACGACAACAGAAGAAGUGGAAAAUAUUUGCCGUGAGGUACGAUUUUUGCAUGCUUGGGAAAAAGAAUAAAAAUAGACUUUUCAUAUUUUAACUUUGUUUUGUAAAGAUUCUUAUUCUGAUGUUGAAUACUUGUGUUCCUUCCCUUUGCAGGUACUUUCUUUGGCUCAGAAUUCUGAAUGUGAUUACGAAGGAAAUUCUGAGAGUGCAGAUUCUGAUGAAGAGACAAUAGCUUGUGCGGGGAAUGAAGAGUAUGUGUUCCCUACACCAGAUGAAGCAGACAAUGGUAGUGUGCCAGAAAUUGGUAAAGUCUUUACAACACUGGAUGAUGCUGCCCGGUUUGUAAAUGUUUAUGCUCAGCUGAAUGGUUUCGAAAUGAUAAAAGGAAGGAAUUAUAAGAAUAGGAAGUUGUAUUUCUAGUGCAAUAAAAGUAGGAAAAGACCAAGUAUCAACACUGGUUUGAGGAAAAGGAAAAGAAACAUUAUUGAAGGGACAAAUUGUCCAAUGAAUAUAACAGUGAAGUUGGUGGAUGACAAGUGGCAUAUCGCUUCAAUGUGUCUUGAGCACAACCAUGAUCUAGUAAGGUCUCCAUCACUUACAAAAAUUUUCUUAAGCCACAGAAACAUGAACGAGGCAGAAAUCAUGUUGUCAAAAUUGCUUCAAGAACACAGAGUGAAACCGAGAAGAAUCAUGAGCAUAUUCAGAAAGUUUUGUGGUGGCAAGCUGGGAAACAUUACCUUUGAUGUGAAGAAACUGGAUAAUUUGAAAAGGGAGAACGGAUGCGUAAAAAGGAGAACAUAGAUAUUGAAUGGACAUUGUAGUAUAUUGAGAAGCUACAAAUUGAUACUCCUGGUUUCUGCUACAUGAUGCAAAGAGAUACAGACAACACGGUUCUCAGCUUGUUCUGGACAGAUGCUCGUUCCCGAUUGAACUACAGGUUGUUUGGUGAGAUCAUUUCAUUUGACACCACUUAUAGCACAAAUAAGUAUAACAUGCCUUUUGCGCCUAUAGUGGGAAUUAAUGGCCAUGGAAGAACAAUUGUGUUUGGUUGGGCGCUAUUGCAAGAUGAAACUUCAGAUACUUUUGUGUGGUUGUUUGAAACUUUCAUGGAGGUCAUGCAGUGGAAAAAACCAGGAAUAAUAUUGACUGACCAAGAUGCAGGGAUGAAAGCUGCUAUUCCUCAAGUAUUUCCAGAUGCGUUACAUAGGUUCUGUCUUUGGCAUAUAUUUAAAAAUGUGCGGGAAAACAUGAGUGCUUACAUGGCUACAAGGGAAAAGAUGGAAAAACAUAUGAUGAAGUGUUUAUUGCAGUCCAUUACUGUUGAGGAAUUUGAAGAAAGAUGGGAGAAAUUUGUGCUGAAGUAUAACUGUGCUGAACAUGCUCACAUCAAAAGGAUGUGGGAGAACUGGACCUUCUUUGUUCCAGCUUAUUUUCGAGGCGUGUUUUGCCCUUUCAUAAGGUCGACCAGCUGGAGUGAAAGCUUCAACUCAAAUUUCAAGGACUACAUCAAGAGGAAAGAUACUAUAGAGGCUUUCAUGAAACAGUAUGUGCUGUUCCAAGAGAAUGUUAUUCACAUAGAAAACCAGGACAGAUUCUUGUCUAAUGAGAAGACUCCUAUCUUUUGGAGUCAUCAGCUUGUUGAACGGCAUGCAGCAGCAAUAUAUACCAGAGGAAUCUACUUGAAGUUUUUGACAGAAUUAGUGAAUUCAACAGCUUUUAAAGUUAUAGAAAUUGAGAAGGAUAAAGUGUAUGAUUUGGAAAAACACAUCAGGUAUGAAAAACCAGAAUUCACAAGAGAAAUGUUCAGAGUCCAUGUGGACCUUAGUACUGGUUCAUUCAAAUGUUUUUGUGGGAAGUUUGAGCGUGAUGGUAUUGUUCGUUGCCAUAUCCUCAGACUUUUUACGCAGUUUGACAUUACCCAUAUUCCAGAUAAGCUGAUUGUUGACAGAUGGACUAUUUCCUUCAGAGAAAAAGAAUUGGAUAAGUGCAAGAAAUAAAUGGUGCUACUUACAGGUGAAGAUCAGUCACACAAUGCAGUCAGAUAUGCUAUUCUGAUGAGUAAAGUUGGUGAAGCUUGCUCAGACAUCAGCAAAGAUUCUGAACUUAGCAAAGAACUUUUGGAUGAUGUUGCUCAAAUUCAUACGAAGUACUUGCAAGGGAAGAAACAACAAGAAGAAUUGCAGUCUGAAAAUUUGUUGAAAGAUCCUCCUAUACGGCCUUCCAAGUCUGUGAACAAAGGACAAAGAUUGAAGCCACAAUCUGAAAAGAAAUCUAGGAAGAAAGCAGCUCCAAAAAAGAAGACUAGUUGAUGGUUUUCAUUGUUCAGAACAAGGAAGAAGAUAAUUUCUGUUUGCAGCAAGGAAGAAGAUAAUUUCCUUCGUUGAAGAAUUUUUUGCAUUAUUAGCUGAAAAAAUUUAGAUGGAUUUUAAUUAUUGUGUGGACAAAGAAAUUUGAUGAUGUCCCUUGUUUUCUUGUUCAUGGAUAAUGUUCUUUGCAAAAUGAUGAUUGGAUAAUGUUCGCUGGAUAAAAAAAUGAUAAUUGUAUAAUGUUCCUAGGAUAAUGUUCUUUGCAAAAUGCUCCUUGGGGCCAAAACAAAUUAGUUGAACAAUAUUGUCCGAAGCUUGAAUAAAUAAUUGUUCCCUGAAUAAUGUUGCCUCAAUUAAAAACUGUUUAACGCUUACUAAAUAGUUCCUCAAUAUUGUUCCUUGAUUUUUAAAAAUUCAUUGAAUAUUCCCUCAAUGAUGUUCUUAGUGAAAAGUUAAAAAUUGUUAUUCAAAAAUAAAUAAUGUUCUCUGAAAAAAGGUUAUUCUAGACUAAAUUGUUAUUUGCAUUUUGAAAAACAUUUAUUUGUAGAACAUUAUUAAAAGAACAUUAUUGGGGGAACAAUCAUUAUUGCAUAAAAAAAGUAAAUACUUUUCUUUGAAGUUUAAAAAUGUUCUUUAAGUCCAAAGAAAAAAUUCCUCGGCAUCAACAAUAUUUAGGGAACAUUAUUCAGGGAACAUUAUAGUUCCCUAAGUAAUGUUCUAAAAAACACUAAAUUGAUCCAUAAUAAAUAAUUUUCUUUGAAGUUUAAAAUUGUUCUUCAAGGCAAAAAAAAAAAUUCCUCGGCAUCAACAUUAUUUAGGGAACAUUAUUCACAGAAUUUGGGGGACAUUAUUGAAAGGACAUUGAUCAGGGAACAUUAUAGAGGAACAAAAAGAAAACUGAACAGAUAAUUGGGGAACAUUAUUCGAAGAACAUUAUUGGGGGAACAAACAUAUUAUAUAAAAUAAUGAUAAGUGAAUAUUACUUCGAACAAAAUUUCCUUGAAUAAUGUUUCAUUCGGGUCAACAAAAUUUCCUUGGAGGGAUGUUUUUACUAUAAUGAUAAUCAGGUCAACAAUGUUCAAACUCUUCAAUAUAAAAAUGUUCCUUGUAUAAUAUUUCCUGAAUAAUGUUCCAAGAAAAUCAGUAAUUUGUUCCUUAUAAAUUCUUUGAAGUUUAAAAAUGUUCUUCAAGUAAAAAAAAUUCGUCAGAAUUAAUAAUUAUUUGAGGAACAUUAAAAGACAAACAUUAAUUUGGGAAUAUUAUUGGGGGAACAAAAAAGUUUGAACAUUAUUAGAGAACAAGAGAACAUUAUUUGAAAAAAUAGAACAUUAUUUGGGGAACAUUAUUUGUGGAACAAUAUUAAAAGAACAAUUUUUUAACAUAAUUAUUAAAGAUAAAUUUAUUUAUCGUGGGAACAUUAUUAGAGAACAUUGUUCGGAAAACAUUAUUGGAGGAACAAAAAAAAUUGAACAUUAUUAUAGAACAACAUUGGGAAAAAAAUUGAACAUUAUUUGGGGAACAUUAUUUGUGGAACAGUAUUAAAAGAACAAUUAUUGAACACAAUUAUUAAAGACAAAAUUAUUUAGGGACUUCACAUAACAUUAUUUGGUCAACAUUAUCUUGGGAACAUUAUUAGAGAACAUUGUUAGGAGAACAUUAUUGGAGGAACAAAAAAGUUUGAACAUUACUCCUAAGAAAAUCAGUAAAUUGUUCCGUAUAAAUAAAGUUCUCUGAAGUUUAAAAAUGUUCUUCAAGUAAAAAAAAAAUCCUCAGAAUCAACAAUUAUUUGAGGAACAAUUAAAGACAAACAUUAUUUGAGGAACAUUAUUGGAGGAACAAAAAAGUUUGAACAUUAUUAGAGAACAAGAGAACAUUGUUGGGAAAAAAUUAUUUGGGGAACAUUAUUUGUGGAACAUUAUUAAAAGAACAAUUAGUGAACAUAAUUAUUAAAGACAAAAUUAUUUAUCAUGGGAACAUUAUUAGAGAACGUUGUUCGGAGAACAUUAUUGGAGGAACAAAAAAGUUUGAACAAUAGAACAAGAUUGGAAAAAAAUUUGAACAUUAUUUGGGGAACAUUAUUUAUGGAACAGUAUUAAAAGAACAAUUAUUGAACACAAUUAUUAAAAACAAAAUUAUUUAGGGACUUCAGAUAACAUUAUUUGGUCAACAUUAUCUUGGGAACAUUAUUAGAGAACAUUGUUCGGAGAACAUUAUUGGAGGAACAAAAAAGUUUGAACAUUACUUGCCGAACAUAACAAUAAUCAGGGAACAUUUUAGGGGGACAAAAAGUUUGAACAUUAUCUUGGGAACAUUAUUAGAGGACAUUAAGAGAACAUUACUGUGAAAAAAAAACUUUCAACAUUGUUUGGGGAAAAUUAUUUGUGGAACAUUCUUAAAAGAACAAUUAUUAAACACAAUUGAGCACCAUUAUUAAAAGAUAAAAUUAUUUAGAGAACAUUAUUGGGGGAACAAAAAAGUUUGUACAUUAUUUGAGAAACAUUAUUGAAGGAAUAAAAUUAUUUAGAGAACAUUAUUCAAAGAACAUUAUUGGGGGAACCAAAAAGUUUGAACAUUAUUUGAGGAACAUUAUUGAAGGAACAUUAAUCAGGGAAAAUAGGGUAACAAAAAGAAAAUUCAACAUUUAUUUGGGGGAGAUUAUUGAAGGAACAUUAUUAGGCGAACAAUCAAUAUUCUAUAAAAAAAUGAUAACCGAAUAAUGUUCCUUCUAACAAAAGGGUGAACAAAAUUUGCUUGGAGGAAAUUUUUUACUACAUUUAUUUCGUUCGUUCGUUCCUAGGAAUAUUAUUGUUUGAUGCGGAAUUUUUUGUUCACCCUUUUUUAGGAAUUUUUUACUACAUUUAUUGUUUGAUGCGGAGGAAUGUUGCCUAAAUAAAUUUUCUUUAAUAAUUGAAUAACGUUUGUUGAAUACUGUUCGUUCAUUGAAUAAUGUUUGUUGAAUAAUGAAUAAUGUUUGUUGAAUACUGUUCGUUCGUUGACCAAUUUAAUUUUGGAGAAGUGUUCACUACAAUUUGAAUAAAAAAUGUUCACUGAAUAUUGUUCCCUAAAAUAAUGUUCUUAGUAAAAAGUUUUAAAAAAGUUCUCCAACAUUACUUAAUGUUCUCUGAAGUAAAAAAAAUGUUCUUCAAGCCAAAAAAGAUUUCUAGGAACAAAAUGAUAAUUGAAUAAUUUUCUUUGGAACAAAAUUUCCUAGGAACGAGGUCGAGAAGCGGACCAAAUUUUGUGAAUCUUUGUUAACAUUAUUAAAACAGGAAAAAGAACAUUAUUCAAAUUGUAGUGAACACUUCUUCAGUGUUCUUUGGGAAGUCUGUCCUAAGGAAGAUCAAAAAUUGUAUCAGCAUUGUUUUGUUCAUCACAUUGUGUUUCCUUCUAUAAACUUAUGUUUGAUCCAGAUAUCAAAAAACUUGAAAACAACUAUGAGCACCAAACACAUAUAUGAAAGAAGAGAUGCUGGUGACACGAUUCCGAUAAAUGUAUUAAACUAUUGGGAAAUCAUUUAGUCGAAACCCAGAGGAAAAAUUUAAAUUGUUGGGAAUAUUCUCCUCAUAAUAAUUGUAGUUUUCUGGUCAUACUGGGGAAGACUUAUUCCCACAACAAGAGAAAAGAGCGGUUCUUAAAAAGUUUUUCAAAUAAGAGACAGCUGACUUUACAACUACUUCUGUUUCAUUCAUGGCGCAAUUGGACAGAGAUCAAUUUUAGAAGCUGGAAGUGUUUUCUUUCUGCACAGAACUAACGGCGCUUUUUCCUCUUCUUGCUUGAAACAUCUUCUUGAAGUCGCUCGAAGUCUUCUUCAUUGAUGUCAGACUUUGCCAAUUUGUAAGCAACGAGCUGCCGAAAUUGAGGAAUAAUUUCUUGAUACAAAUGAAAAGGUGAACAACACAUUAGGCAUGCCAAAAGAGAAGUGCUGGAAACUAAACAUAGAGCAAGUAUGGAGGAAGAACAAUUUCAUGGCAACAUACAUCAUCAAAUUCCUUCAUGUUCUUCCCAUCCCAGAUAUCCAUGUACAUGAUAGCAUACAGAGCACAAUUGUGGCUGCACAAGAAUUUUAAAAUUCAGUAAAAGAAACUUGUUUAAAAAAAUUCAAGUGAAUAAAAGAGUUUAACAGAAAAGAGUGGAUUCUCUAUAAUGAUGCUUUUGUUUUACUCACAGGUUGUUUUGCUGGGGGUAGUCCUCAGGAGAAAUGCACUCAAAAUUUUCGAUGUUUUUGUAUGUGUACCCAGAAGAUUUGAAGAGGGUAGCCAUGUUGAUGAUCUAUAUUGAAAAGUAGUAGAGUUCAACAACCACAGAACUUCAAUAAGAAAAGGGCACUUAAUUUUUGUUGAAUGCCUAAACAUACAGAAGCUUACAGGGUAGUUAGCAGUAAAAACAGAUUAUGUUACAAAGCGAAAGAAGUUAAAAGUAAAGGAAGAAAACAAACCAGGUUUGACGUUAACUUGUUGACAAGAUUUUAAGGAAUAGAAGAUCUUGAAUCAAAGAAACUGAUAGUUUCAAACAAAUUGUUGAUGCAGAACAAAGACGAGUGGAAUGAGUCAACUCUGGGGAAGUAUAGCUGGAUGGCAAAAAAAGUAGAAAAAACAGAUAAGAUGAGAUAGAAUGCAAAAAAAGAGAAAUACUUAUGAUGAUAAAAGUUGUUUACCAGAUCACGUUUAUGCAAGUUCUUUCCAGAGGUAAUUUUCUUGAAUUCUCUUAGGCAAGACCGAGAAUUGAAGAUUUUGGGGUCUACAAGCACCUUUUGCUGCAAAGUUAAAUUAAAAAACAGAUCAUAACACCAAGAAACAUAACUUCCAUGAGUGUAUCGUGAACAAAAAGAAACAUAGAUGAGGAAUAGAGAAUUACCGUGAAAUAGCUAGUAAAGCAAUAUUUUGAAGGGUCCUUGCUGUUUGGGUCUGGAUUUUCAUUCUCAUAAUUGAAAAUUUGGACAUAGGCAUUGAAUACUUCAUUAUCAACAUUUCCUAUUGCCUUUAAUGAAUUAUAGAAAUUAUCAUACUCCACAGGAAAGCCAUUGAUAUCAAUAACAGUUGGACUGCACGAUAAAAAAGAAUAGAAACGCUUAUUGAACAAAUUGUACAAAAAAGAAGAAUGCAUGAUAUUGAAAAAAUUAGUUUGCACAUUGAAAUGACUUACUUAUUGCCAUUCUUGAAGAAUUUGUUUGCAAGGUAUUUCUUAUAAAACUCCUGAACAUGAGGUUCAACAAUCAUCUUUGAAAUCUUUUCCUGAGGAGAUAUUACUUUUGCUUUCCUUUUCUUUCUAUUUCUCUUCUCUAUUGUGCUUGGACCAGACAUGUUUAGUGUAACAUCAGAUGACUGCUUCUCAGGUACUAGAGGAUCUGUCCAAUUAAGCAGUUGCAUAUAAUAAGUAUUGUGCUGACAACACAAUGAAACAUAUAAAAAAAGACAGGGCAUUGCAAGAACAAAAUCAGUGAAGCAAAAAGCAAAACAAUGGAACAGCAGGAUGGGGAGAUGAUAAAAAAUGUUUUGAGUUACCUUUGGGAACAGACUUGACAACUUCUUCGACUAAUAAAUCAUCUCCAUACUUCAUGGCAAUUUCAAUGCCAGUUGCAACAUUGUCAAUUGAUUGUGAAUUCAGAUUUGUUGGUGUGGAGGCAUCUUCAAUUAUAAUGUUGCUCGAAGGAGACAAUAUGAUCUCGAGACUAGGAUUGUUCUGAACUAGAAAAGGAGAGAUGGGACAGGAAGAUGAUUCAUUGUUUGGUGUCUGACUGGCAGGUCUAACAUCACCUGGCUUUUGCUCAUUCAGUAACUGAACAUUUUCUCUCACAGAAAAUGAGUUUCCAGAGGAGUUUCCUGCAGAUUUACUGUCAUAGAGUUGAAAUUUUGAGAAUCUAUCUGAUUUGCUUCAGUAACACUUGUAGGAUGAACAGAAUCCAGUGGUUCCAGGAAUCCAGUUGAUUUAGUAUGAACUGCCUCAGAAACGGUACCUGAAAAUGGCAAAAAAUAGUGAUGUCAGAAUGUGUUUACAGAAUGAAUGUAUUUACCAUAAUAGUGAUGUCAGGAACAGGAAACUGAGUACUAAUAAAACUGCCUCAUGAACAACAAAUUGAGUGCUAUGACUAGUUUGAGUAAAAGAAAAAAUGUUGACCAAAUGUGUUAUCAGAAUGAAUAUCAUUGUCCACACCUGUUUGUGCUUGCUCAUUUUCCUGGAAUUGCUGAGGUAAUGACACUUGCUUUUGAACUUCAUCGGAAAUUUGAACUUGGUUAUCCUUGGUAACAACUGGAGUAGGAAUGACUCUGAUAUGGUCGUCAAAUAAAGAACCUGUAAUUGCCUCACUGUUAACUUGGAGUGUGCGAUUGCCAGGAUUUAAUGGUUCUCUGAGAACAUUUUUGUUGCUGGCUCCAGACAGAAGAACAAUUGGAUUCGUGGUUGAAAUGCCAGCAUCAUUGACUUGGCUGCUAGAAUUUGCUGUAAAGACAAGACAGUUGCUUUGAGUUCUGCUAGCAUACUCUGUACAUGCUCUUCAUGGAACUUCUUCCAAAUGACAUCAUGUUUUGCAACUAUUUUAGAGACUAUCUUCAUAACCUAUUAGUUUGAGCAAACAGAACAGAUAUAUGUGUAUUAGUUUCUGGUAUGAAAGUAAAGUGACAACACUAAUAUCUAUUAAGAAAAGAAAAAAAGCAGGCCAACAUACUUCUGGAUUGUUGUUCGAAGUAGAUGCAACAUUUUCUCUGUCAUUUUGGUUUGGAAUGUCAUUUUCAUCAUUAUGAAAAGACUCUGGCGCUUUGGACCACUUCUCCUCAGCCAAUACAAUUGCACGAGCACUAUAAGGUGUCGUAGAGAUGUCUUUCAACUGCACAAAAAAAAUGCAAUUGAAAAGGAUUAUAAAUGACAAGAUUUGCUCCUUCUAGAUUGCUUGUAGAAGAAAAAUCUUUUUGCUAACUUGAAAAAUGAACAACAACAAAUUUAUACAAGAAGCUUACUGGUAAGAAACCCAAUGCAAAACUCUUCUUGGAAGCUCUGUUCAGAUUCACUGUAGCUAGAUAGUCAAAGUCUUCAUUCUGAACAUGUGCAAUUCUAGGGACUCCAUAAUUGAUGUUUCGUUGUUUAGAAGCUUUUGUGAAGUCUACAAAGUCCAGAUACACAAUCUAGGAAGGUUGUGAAUCAUAAGAGAAGAUAUAAGAGGUAAUCAGUGACUAUAAAAAAAGAUUGCAGAACUAAAGUCUAUGUAAAAAAUUGAAAAUGACAGAGGAAAGAAAACUUACAGCAGCCAACGGUAAACAUCCACCAACAUAGAUUGAAUCAUUCAAUGGAACUUCAGCUCUAUUGAAGAGUUUAGUGCUGAAGUUAUCAAUUUCAUUGUUCAGGUGAUCAAUGCACAACUGAGCCAAAUCAAAGGUCUUCAGCUUGGUAAUGUCAUCCAGCCCAUAAAGAAGUUUCCAGUUUGCAUAGUUCCGAGUGGUUGGACAUAAAACAGAUGUUAUGAACAGAAACAUGAAGCUCCGUAUGAAGCCUUCCUCAGUCUCAUCAUUUUUCAUCUUGGUGAUUAUGUUAUCAAAUGAAAUGUUCUUCUCCCCAGCACCAAGAUACUCAGACCUAAGUUCCAAUACUCUAGCCACGAUAACUUGAUCUGUGCUGUCCAUAGGAAAAGGCACGGAACUAGAACGAAUACCAAAAACUUGAAUUACCAUUUCCCUUCUCAGAUGAAUUAUCUUUUGACCCUUCCUGAAAACUCCUGUUCCAUUACAAUUUAAGUGGUUCGCAACCCAUUGCAGUACUGGAAUUGGAAUCAUUAAAUGAGGGUGAAUGUUCAGGAGAUGAUCAAGCUCAUAUUUCGUAACAUAUGACUUCCGGAUGUCAGUUAAAUCAGCAACUGCCUUACACCACCUAAUGGUAGAGAAUCUGUGUUUGAUACUACCCGGAGGGUAUUUGUAAAGUUUAGGCAUUUUGACAGUUGAGUGAGAGCUGUAUAAAAAUAAUAAAAAGUAAGGUGCUGAAAUUUUAGGUAUAAAAAAACGUUCAUGUAAAUGUAAGCUGCUGAAACAAAAAUUAAUUCUGCAAAACAGAAGAGAAGUACAUAGUAUCACUCAUAGUUACAUUAUACACAAAAAAGCAGAAGAUGCCAACUGAUUGCCAAGAAAGCAGAAGUGAUGAAGGACUAAUUCCAAUGCAAGAAGGAUAUGUAGCCCUAACACCCAAUUUUUCUAAAAUUUAUUUUCUAAAAUUUAUUUUCUUCCUCUUCUGUUUCCUUGUUUUUCUAAAUUUUCUAAACAAUUCACAUUAUUUUAUUUUCUGAAUUUUUCUAGAACACUUUUUCAAAUUGGCGAACAUUUUUUGAUCCUCAAUUUCAGAAAAUGUUCAUCCAUGUCAAAAAGUUCAAAAAAAAUUGAUGUUAUAAAAUUUAGAUGUGAUGUAGUACAAGAACAAUCAUUUGAGUGAACACACAAUGUUCAAACAAAUUUACACAUUACAGAAACUAACAAGUGUCCUAUCAUCAUCAACAUAAACACACACACAAAAUUCCAAGGGCAACCGCAUGAAACAGACAACCUCCUACCAUCAUUAUGCUGUAUUCAUAACCUGAUUCCAAAUUCUAAAUCACAUCCGGGAAACCAAACUGAAAAAAUCGCUCCAAAGGGACCUUGUCUAGUCUCAUAUUCACCCAAAUCAGACUGAAAAAAUCGCUCCACUGCUACCACCAAACCUCCUACAAACCCUAGAAACGCUGGACCGACACAAACGGGAAAAAACGUCUUGAUCUUGCAAAAUCACACACAGAGGACACGAACCAGCUUGACAAGAACACAGAAGAGGGAACUGGGGGCAUUACCUUGAAGAUGACGAACUUGACGAAGAUCGAUGGAACCCUAGAUGACCCGAUCUUGACGGAACCCUAGACGACGCCGACGCCGACGAGGAAGCAGUGACCACCUGCAAAAAAGCAUCCAUCACGACGACAUCCGCCAGAUCUAAUCGGCGAUGCCUCGGACGAUUCAACGGGAAAGAGGUCCGUCGGCUGCUUACCAGGGCGGCGGCCUCUUAUCGGAGCGGGAUCCCUGUAGGAAAAAGCAGACGAAGAGGGAGGAAGUGGGAUGCGGGACGAGGGAGGAAGAGUACGAUGGAUGCGGGACGAGGGAGGAAGAAGACGGGAGAUGCGGGACGAGGAAGAGGAACGGGGAAACAGUGACUCGAGGAAGAGGAACGGAGAAACAGCGAACAUGUAUUAAAAAGGCCGGCCCAAAUUAGGCGAAGGGGUGUACGGCGCGUCGACAGUUUGACGCAAAAUGCGUCAAAUAGGAUAUUCCCCCACGAAGCUCCGCCGUUGGGUCUCUGGAUGCGUGCGGUGCAGCCACGCUAGGACUAGAAAGAACGGCGGCGCGACCACCUGUCGAGACGAGGCUCCCGUGCAUCGCCACGGCGGGCCGAGCUUCCCACACCUGUUCGCCUCGCCCCCCUUACCCCUCUUAUAGCCGAACUCCACGCGCCAGCGCCAUGUCCCUCGCCGCCGCAGCCUCCCCGUCGUGCCGCUUCCUGUCGCCCUCCACGGCCGCCCGCCGCCGGUUCCUCCACCACCUCCUCGCCGCGCCCCCGAGGCCGCCGCAGCUUCGUCGCUGCUCCCCGUACCACUGGAUGGCGGUACGUAGCAGCACACGUGACGCCCUACCCUUCUCCUUCCCCUUUUUUGUUUGUUGUACUGCCAUCCUGCAUAACUGUUUGACGAUUGCCGCGGCAAAUUGGAUGAUUAAUUAACCUGCACCCUCGAGUUUAAGCCGAUUCAGGAUAUCUUAGUUGCGCGUUUGGACUCGAGAGAGAUUUGGAAAUCGGGAGGGCUAGCCCUAGGCUCUAGCUGAUCGGUGGAUUUUAGUCUUGUAUAGCUCUAAAGGAGAGCGAUUAUGAUUUUGAGGGCGGGAGAGCACAAGAGUAUGAUGGUGAACUUGGCUUCUAGCAGGUCCAGCUAUGAGUGAAGCCAUGCUACUGAUCUUUUUUACCGGUUGGUGCUGAAAAUUCAAUAGUGUUAAGCUAUCUUGUGCAAGCGUGGCACCUUGAGUGUGAUAAUAUAGGUUAAAUCUGAACCUAACUAUGCUGUGAAGGUAGCUUAUCUGUUGCAGAAACUGGGAAUUAUGUGCCCACAAACAUUUUAUUUUGGAAAGGGCAGUUUACUCCUAACAAAUGCGACAGUGUUAUGCGAUAUCAAUGUAAUGAAAUCUGCGAUCAUCAUAUAUUUUUGGCACACUGUGAAUGUUUUAGUGAAGCACAUAGUCGUUGCUGCUCAGUGACGGCAAGCACUGGAGUUCACCUAUGAGGGCUACUCCCUCCGUUUCAAAUUACUCGUCGUAGAAAUGGAUGUAUCUAGAACUAAAAUACAUCUAGAUACAUCCGUACCCGUGACAAGUAAUUCGGAACGGAGGGAGUACAUCUCAGCAUCUGUUGUUUAACUUGCAGCAAUUUUGGACUGAAGGAUCACUGGAGAAGAACAACGCUCUGGUUGAAUACCUGAAACAGUAUGGUGUUGUUCGAACAGAUAAAGUGGCAGAAGUUAUGGAAACUAUCGAUCGAGCCCUAUUUGUACCAGAGGGCUUUACCCCUUACAUUGACAGUCCUAUGCCUAUUGGUUACAAUGCAACGAUAUCUGCUCCUCACAUGCAUGCAACCUGCUUAGAACUUUUGAAGGAUCAUUUACAGCCAGGCAUGCAUGCUCUAGAUGUUGGAUCAGGUUUGUUGCUGACAGCCUGAUACGCUGUCACUCUGUUUAGUGCCUUCAGAUGAUACACCUGUAUCUGUAUAAAUAAAUAACUUUAUCAAUAUCCAACUGACACUUUUGUCUCAAACUACUGCCAUCUUCAUCCAUUUCCUAUCACAGGCAGUGGCUACUUGACAGCUUGUUUUGCAAUGAUGGUCGGACCAGAAGGUCGCGCAGUGGGGAUUGAACACAUUCCUGAGCUUGUUGCUGCUUCAACUGAAAAUGUUGAACGGAGUGCUGCAGCAGCACUACUGAAGGAUGGUUCACUUUCUCUUCAUGUUUCAGGUAUGCUAGUUGGUACUAUGGUGUGUUGAGCCAUUCAACACAUCAAUGAAAUUUUAAUUUCCGCUGGUCGUUUUAUAGCCUCAAAACGUCAAGCCGAUAUGAUAUGCAUACUAUGAUAAAGCAAAUAUUUCUAUGGAAGUCCAAAACAUCUGGAGCUCAAAGUUGUCCUGUUGCAAUUCACAAAACCACAGAUGGAAGGCUCGGCUGGCCGGAUGUGGCGCCAUACGAUGCUAUUCAUGUGGGCGCAGCGGCACCCGAGAUCCCUAGGCCGCUGCUAGAACAGCUGAAGCCUGGCGGGCGGAUGGUCAUACCCGUCGGCACAUACUCUCAGGACCUGCAGGUGAUCGACAAGAGCUCCGACGGAUCCAUCAGCACCCGCAACGAUGCCUCUGUUCGCUACGUCCCUCUCACCAGCCGCUCUGCUCAGCUGCAGGACAGCUGAGAUCCUUUGCUCUGGAUCUCAAAAUGUGUGUGUAUAUAUGUGAGUGCCUAUGAUCUUUGUCCACCAAUGUGGCGUCUGAUGUUUAGAUGGUUUGGUUUUGUAUAAAAUGCUUACUGCUGGUUGAUGUUGCGUAGAAUAUGUGAAUACGUGUUGUGUGUGGUAAGUUAGGAAAUCGCUAGCGUUUGUGUGGCCUUUUUAUGGCAUGAUUUGUCGCGGUUUAAGUUCAGUUCAGGUGCAAUUUCUCAACUUUGAGAUAAAGAUGCAGCAUUAUCCUCUCAACUUCAUGCCCUCUCAUCAUCUUUA